CUGAGGGAUAGCAAACAAUCCAGCAGGCACAACAUCACCAUCACCAGAGCCCAGAGAAGAGGACUUCCAUCAAGAUGAAUUACUAU
Molecule: long non-coding RNA, 86 nt
Filed under: Oryctolagus cuniculus (rabbit)
Lineage: Eukaryota; Metazoa; Chordata; Mammalia; Lagomorpha; Leporidae
Description: lncRNA (ENSOCUG00000031795.1)
Source: RNAcentral